AGAGACAGGGGAUGCAAAGGGUUCACGCCCUCUCUCUCUUCUCAAACUCUCACGCACCCUUGAACCCAGACGCCGCGCCGCCUUCAUCUCUCUCUCCGGCGAAGGUGACAGCAGCGAGGGCUGCGGCCGCCGCGGUUCCCUCUCCGGCGAAGCCGCGCCUGAGCGCCGCUCCCCUGGCUUCAUCUCUCUCUCUCACCACUCAGCCCUAAAUCCCCAAAAUCCCGAAUCUACCCUAAAUCCCCUAGCUUCAUCUCUCUCUCUCUCACCGCUUCCCUGAGCGCCACGACCGGAAGGCCACUUCUCCGUUCCCGGCCGAACAGCCGCCGCCGAGCCCAUCGUCUGAAAGCACCGCCUCACUGAUCUCGUUGCCUCGCUCCCUCUGAGCUCGAAACCCUAAGGCGCCGCCUCCUCUGCUCUACCUGCGCGAGUAGCUUCAAAGCGAAGCUACCGCUACUCGAUUUGGUCUGUAAUUUCUUAAAUUUGUUGCUGG
This 490-nucleotide long non-coding RNA is filed under the name Salvia miltiorrhiza (redroot sage). RNAcentral's name for it is "long non-coding RNA (SMIL_LNC009683)". Lineage: Eukaryota; Viridiplantae; Streptophyta; Magnoliopsida; Lamiales; Lamiaceae. The record is from RNAcentral.